Molecule: non-coding RNA, 354 nt
Organism: Paramuricea clavata
Lineage: Eukaryota; Metazoa; Cnidaria; Anthozoa; Malacalcyonacea; Plexauridae
Source: the annotation of a GenBank genome assembly
AUUUACAAGUGCAUUAGGUCUCUUAGGUUUUAGUUUAAGACCAACAUGAGCGAGUGAGAUAAACUCGACUAGCUUAGGAUAAGGCAUCAAGCGUGGGAUCCACGCACUAGACCCCUCAGGAUCGGACCCCAAACCUUUUUUCAAUGCCAAAUGUGAAAUUAUCCCCACCUUACCACAUCGUUGAAGAGUUAUGGUGGAUAUCUUGGGCAAAUGUGCAUUUUCUUGGUGGAUAUCUUGGGCAAAUGUGCAAUACCAUGACGGAUAUCUUGGGCAAAUGUGUGUUUUCUUGGUGGAUAUCUUGGGCAAAUGUGCAAUAUUAUGAGGGAUGUCUUGGAAAAUAUCUUGGAUAAAUUG